RNAcentral lists this ribosomal RNA (253 nucleotides) under uncultured bacterium. Its description in RNAcentral is "partial 16S ribosomal RNA". It matches the Rfam family "Bacterial small subunit ribosomal RNA", at positions 524 to 776 of the family's 1533-position model. The record is from RNAcentral.
GACGAACCACACAAACGUUAUUCGGAAUUACUGGGCUUAAAGGGUGCGUAGGCUGUGCGGAAAGUUGGGCGUGAAAUACCUCAGCUUAACUGAGGAACUGCGUUCAAAACUACCGUGCUUGAGGGAGACAGAGGUAAGCGGAACUUAGGGUGGAGCGGUGAAAUGCGUUGAUAUCCUAAGGAACACCGGUGGCGAAAGCGGCUUACUGGGUCUCUUCUGACGCUGAUGCACGAAAGCUAGGGUAGCGAACGGG